Molecule: long non-coding RNA, 1333 nt
Filed under: Homo sapiens (human)
Lineage: Eukaryota; Metazoa; Chordata; Mammalia; Primates; Hominidae
Description: HSALNT0365214
Source: RNAcentral
AAAUGAACACAUACCCUGUCCGGCUCACAGAGUUCAGGUUUCUCUUCUACCACGGUUGGCCCCACAUGGAAUCCGAACAGGAGGAAGAGACAGGUUCAGGACAAAAGGCUGGGAUUUCAGCCCUUACUCCCUGCCUCCAGGAAACUUCUCUCAGAGGCUUUCACCCAUCAUCCCCUCAUGGACUCUGCAGCCACUUUGCCAAGAGAGGGUGGCAGCUGUCUCUAUAAGGGCCCUUUCAUCAUCCUUACAGUGCAAACAAAAACACAGCCAUCCCUCGGCAUCUCUGGGGGAUUGGAUCCAGGACCCCUAGCGAAUAGCAAAAUCCAAGCAUGCUCAAAAGUCCCUUAUAUAAAAUGGUGUAGUAUUUGCCUAUAACCUAUACACAUCCUCCCAUAUACUUUAAAUCAGCUCUAGAUUACUCAUAAUACCUGGUACAAUGUAAAUGCUGUGUAAAUGGUUGUAAUACUGCAUUAUUUAGGAAUAACAAGAAAAAGGUGUACAUGUUCAGUGCUGACACUACUCUCCAUUUUCUUUUUUUCUGAGUAUUUUUGAUCUGCAGUUGGUUGACUCCACGGAUGCAGAACCCAUGGAUGGAUACAGAGGGUUGACUGUAUAAGAAGUUUUCUAUAAAUGUCUGCUGUGGACUGAACUGAUGGAAUAAGCAUCCAAAAGGAAUGCCACCGGCUGAAAUGCUGACCCUCAUCACCAAGAUAAAACAUUGCAGGGAUGCAUGAAAAUUACAUUUGGGGAGUAAAUAGGCAGCCCAAGUACAGAGUGAAGAAGACCUGCUUAGAGGUGGCACACAUGAAAACAACUCAAAGAUCUCUGUCUGGAGAACUCCUGCACAUCCUUCAAGGCCCAGGUGAAAUGUCGCUUCAGAUCCUCCCAAACACAAUGACCCACUCCCGUCCUGUGCUACCCCAGCGCUUUACACACAGCUCUGCGACAGCCUGUGGCCAUUUUGGAAUUGGGGAUACCCAGCGUUCGGAAUUCCUUAGAGCUGGGAUGCUGGGUGUGGCUGUCACAGCAUUGCAGUGCCAGAGUGGCCAAAAAUGUGUUGUAAGUGAAUAAAUGAAUUCCUCAAUUCAUCAAGUUUAUCUCCUUAACCAUCUGCAACCAGGAGUGGGUAGGAUUGGGAACGGAGAGAAAGGCCUCCACGGUCUCCAGAGAGGAGCUUAGUCCUGGGCCCACCAGCCAAGAUAGGGAUAUGGUGGGCACAUCCCAGGGGGGAACUUAGACACUCAGACAGGUGCUGCUUCCAGGCCUUUGGUCCUCUGCUCUGCUGAGGGUGGUGCUGGAGGGAUGGAGGCAAGGGUUGUGGUUUGGGCAGAAG